Molecule: ribosomal RNA, 478 nt
Filed under: uncultured bacterium
Lineage: Bacteria
Description: partial 16S ribosomal RNA
Rfam family: Bacterial small subunit ribosomal RNA
Source: RNAcentral
GACGAACGCUGGCGGCGUGCUUAACACAUGCAAGUCGAACGGUAAGGCCCUUCGGGGUACACAAGUGGCGAACGGGUGAGUAACACGUGGGUGAUCUGCCCUGCACUUCGGGAUAAGCCUGGGAAACUGGGUCUAAUACCGGAUAGGACUCCUGGCUUCAUGGUUGGGGGUGGAAAGCUUUUGCGGUGUGGGAUGGGGCCGCGGCCUAUCAGCUUGUUGGUGGGGUAAUGGCCUACCAAGGCGACGACGGGUAGCCGGCCUGAGAGGGUGACCGGUCACACUGGGACUGAGAUACGGCCCAGACUCCUACGGGAGGCAGCAGUGGGGAAUAUUGCACAAUGGGCGCAAGCCUGAUGCAGCGACGCCGCGUGAGGGAUGACGGCCUUCGGGUUGUAAACCUCUUUCAGCUAUGACGAAGCGCAAGUGACGGUAGUAGCAGAAGAAGGACCGGCCAACUACGUGCCAGCCGCCGCGGUAA